GAAAGUCGGAUUAAUACCCCAUAAAACAGGGGUCCCGCAUGGGAAUAUUUGUUAAAGAUUCAUCGCUGAUAGAUAGGCAUGCGUUCCAUUAGGCAGUUGGCGGGGUAACGGCCCACCAAACCGACGACGGAUAGGGGUUCUGAGAGGAAGGUCCCCCACAUUGGUACUGAGACACGGACCAAACUCCUACGGGAGGCAGCAGUGAGGAAUAUUGGUCAAUGGCCGAGAGGCUGAACCAGCCAAGUCGCGUGAAGGAAGAAGGAUCUAUGGUUUGUAAACUUCUUUUAUAGGGGAAUAAAGUGGAGGACGUGUCCUUUUUUGUAUGUACCCUAUGAAUAAGCAUCGGCUAACUCCGUGCCAGCAGCCGCGGUAAUACGGAGGAUGCGAGCGUUAUCCGGAUUUAUUGGGUUUAAAGGGUGCGUAGGUGGUGAUUUAAGUCAGCGGUGAAAGUUUGUGGCUCAACCAUAAAAUUGCCGUUGAAACUGGGUUACUUGAGUGUGUUUGAGGUAGGCGGAAUGCGUGGUGUAGCGGUGAAAUGCAUAGAUAUCACGCAGAACUCCGAUUGCGAAGGCAGCUUACUAAACCAUAACUGACACUGAAGCACGAAAGCGUGGGGAUCAAACAGGAUUAGAUACCCUGGUAGUCCACGCAGUAAACGAUGAUUACUAGGAGUUUGCGAUACAAUGUAAGCUCU
Molecule: ribosomal RNA, 694 nt
Filed under: uncultured bacterium
Lineage: Bacteria
Description: bacterial SSU rRNA
Rfam family: Bacterial small subunit ribosomal RNA
Source: RNAcentral